GAGUUUGAUCUUGGCUCAGGGUGGUAGGAACAUUGAGGCUGGGGCCGCCUGAGGCUUUGGCAUGAGGCUGGGGGGCUGAGGAGAGAUGUGAAACAGUUACACCGGGGGUGAAGGUGUCAGAGAGGCCUCUCAGUUUCAGCUUGAGUCGGCAGGCAGGCCAUGGUGGUGGCUGGUGGGGAAGUCACCACUGCCCCAGGCCAGAGAGGAUUGCCUCUGAGCCAGGGAUGUCCAGGGCUGCCUCUGAGAGAGGUACAGGUGGGAGUGGACACGGGCAGGUCAACCACUGUCCCUGCCCCAUGACCCCGACACAGGUCAGAUGACCCAGAUGGUGGGGGGCCAGGGCAGGAGCAGUUGAGGGGCCAGGCUAUCAGCUGAGUCGAAAA
Molecule: ribosomal RNA, 383 nt
Filed under: uncultured microorganism
Description: partial 16S ribosomal RNA
Source: RNAcentral